RNAcentral lists this ribosomal RNA (465 nucleotides) under uncultured bacterium. Its description in RNAcentral is "partial 16S ribosomal RNA". It matches the Rfam family "Bacterial small subunit ribosomal RNA", at positions 338 to 795 of the family's 1533-position model. The record is from RNAcentral.
CCUACGGGGGGCAGCAGUGGGGAAUAUUGCGCAAUGGGCGAAAGCCUGACGCAGCGACGCCGCGUGAGGGAUGAAGGUCUUCGGAUCGUAAACCUCUGUCAGCAGGGAAGAACGGUCACUGUGCUAAUCAGCAGUGAAUUGACGGUACCUGCAACGGAAGCACCGGCUAACUCCGUGCCAGCAGCCGCGGUAAUACGGAGGGUGCGAGCGUUAAUCGGAAUUACUGGGCGUAAAGCGCUCGUAGGCGGGAUGUCAAGGCAAGGGUGAAAUCCCCGCGCGCAACGUGGGAACUGCCUUUGAAACUGGCAAACUGGAGUGUGUGAGAGGAUAGUGGAAUGCCAGGUGUAGGAGUGAAAUGCGUAGAUAUCUGGAGGAACAUCAGUGGCGAAGGCGACUAUCUGGCACAUAACUGACGCUGAGGAGCGAAAGCGUGGGUAGCGAACAGGAUUAGAUACCCCUGUAGUC